AUCAACACAUUUAUAUUUCUAGAUGCUGCACUUUGCUGUUUCAUUACCCAGACAGCUGUUUAAGGUCAGACCAAGGCAGAGUGUAGUAUCAGUACUUAGGGGUCAUAGGUCAUACCAAGGCAGAGUGUAGUAUCAGUACUUAGGGGUCAUAGGUCAUACCAAGGCAGAGUGUAGUAUCAGUACUUAGGGGUCAUAGUGGUCAUGGCUGAUAUACAUGGACUAGAAAACAAACUUUAAGACCAUUUUUCUAAGAUUCACUGUUUGUGUAGAUGCUGUUUGUCUCUUUAGGACUGUAGUUCAGGUGGCUGUUUGUGUAGAUGCUGUUUGUCUCUUUAGGACAGUAGUUCAGGUGGCUGUUUGUGUAGAUGCUGUUUGUCUUUACUAGGACAGUAGUUCAGGUGGCUGUUUGUGUAGAUGCUGUUUGUCUCUGUAGGACAGUAGUUCAGGUGGCUGUUUGUGUAGAUGCUGUUUGUCUCUGUAGGACUGUAGUUCAGGUGGCUGUUUGUGUAGAUGCUGUUUGUCUCUUUAGGACUGUAGUUCAGGUGGCUGUUUGUCUUUGUAGGACUGUAGUUCAGGUGGCUGUUUGUGUAGAUGCUGUUUGUCUUUGUAGGACAGUAGUUCAGGUGGCUGUUUGUCUUUGUAGGACAGUAGUUCAGGUGGCUGUUUGUCUUUGUAGGACAGUAGUUCAGGUGGCUGUUUGUCUUUGUAGGACAGUAGUUCAGGUGGCUGUUUGUCUUUGUAGGACAGUAGUUCAGGUGGCUGUUUGUCUUUGUAGGACAGUAGUUCAGGUGGCUGUGUGUCUUCGUAGGACAGUAGUUCAGGUGGCUGUUUGUGUAGAUGCUGUUUGUCUUUGUAGGACAGUAGUUCAGGUGGCUGCCCUUGCACUUAGUCUGCCUCCUGCCCCCCCAUCGUCAUGGUUACACCUUCCUGAAUACAAUGACUCCCAUACUUUGCUGAAACCUGUUCUGCCAG
Oncorhynchus tshawytscha (Chinook salmon) is the source of this 972-nucleotide long non-coding RNA. The record is from Ensembl. NCBI's taxonomy places the organism in Eukaryota, Metazoa, Chordata, Actinopteri, Salmoniformes, Salmonidae.